RNAcentral lists this ribosomal RNA (467 nucleotides) under uncultured bacterium. RNAcentral's name for it is "partial 16S ribosomal RNA". It matches the Rfam family "Bacterial small subunit ribosomal RNA", at positions 28 to 507 of the family's 1533-position model. The record is from RNAcentral.
GACGAACGCUGGCGGCGUGCUUAACACAUGCAAGUCGAACGGAAAGGCCCUGCUUUUGUGGGGUGCUCGAGUGGCGAACGGGUGAGUAACACGUGAGUAACCUGCCCUUGACUUUGGAUAACUUCAGGAAACUGGGGCUAAUACCGGAUAGGAGCUCCUGCUGCAUGGUGGGGGUUGGAAAGUUUCGGCGGUUGGGGAUGGACUCGCGGCUUAUCAGCUUGUUGGUGGGGUAGUGGCUUACCAAGGCUUUGCCGGGUAGCCGGCCUGAGAGGGUGACCGGCCACAUUGGGACUGAGAUACGGCCCAGACUCCUACGGGAGGCAGCAGUGGGGAAUAUUGCACAAUGGGCGGAAGCCUGAUGCAGCAACGCCGCGUGCGGGAUGACGGCCUUCGGGUUGUAAACCGCUUUCGCCUGUGACGAAGCGUGAGUGACGGUAAUGGGUAAAGAAGCACCGGCUAACUACGUG